UACGAAGGGUGCAAACGUUAUUCGGAAUCACUGGGCGUAAAGGGUGCGUAGACGGCAUGUUAAGUUCGUUGUUAAAGGCUCCGGCCUAACCGGAGUACCGCGAUGAAAACUGGCGUACCAGAGGGUGAGAGAGAGAAGUGGAAUUCCUGGAGUAGCGGUAAAAUGCGUGGAUCUCAGGAGGAACACCAAUGGCGAAGGCAGCUUCUUGGCUCAUUCCUGACGUUGAGGCACGAAAGCGUGGGGAGCAAACAGG
RNAcentral lists this ribosomal RNA (253 nucleotides) under uncultured bacterium. RNAcentral describes it as "partial 16S ribosomal RNA". It matches the Rfam family "Bacterial small subunit ribosomal RNA", at positions 524 to 776 of the family's 1533-position model. The record is from RNAcentral.